This 229-nucleotide ribosomal RNA is filed under the name uncultured bacterium. RNAcentral's name for it is "partial 16S ribosomal RNA". It matches the Rfam family "Bacterial small subunit ribosomal RNA", at positions 15 to 233 of the family's 1533-position model. The record is from RNAcentral.
GAUCCUGGCUCAGGAUGAACGCUAGCUACAGGCUUAACACAUACAAGUCGAGGGGCAGCAUGGUCUUAGCUUGCUAAGACUGAUGGCGACCGGCGCACGGGUGAGUAACACGUAUCCAACCUGCCGUCUACUCUUGGACAGCCUUCUGAAAGGAAGAUUAAUACAAGAUGGCAUCAUGAGUCCGCAUGUUCACAUGAUUAAAGGUAAUUCCGGUAGACGAUGGGGAGUG